RNAcentral lists this transfer RNA (76 nucleotides) under Culex quinquefasciatus (southern house mosquito). Its description in RNAcentral is "tRNA-Thr". The record is from RNAcentral. Lineage: Eukaryota; Metazoa; Arthropoda; Insecta; Diptera; Culicidae.
GGAGCGGCCAUGGCUUACUGGUAACGGUGUUCGCUCAGUAAGCGAAUGGUCCUGGGUUCGAUUCCCAUCUGCUCCC